RNAcentral lists this ribosomal RNA (2902 nucleotides) under Candidatus Bathyarchaeota archaeon. RNAcentral describes it as "23S ribosomal RNA". It matches the Rfam family "Archaeal large subunit ribosomal RNA". The record is from RNAcentral. Lineage: Archaea; Thermoproteati; Candidatus Bathyarchaeota.
CGUCUGGCGAAUGACUAGGCUUGAGCACCGAAGAAGGGCGCGGCAAGCGGCGAAACGCCCCGGGUAGCUGCACGCAAGCGUAGAUCCGGGGAUGCCCGAAUGAGACUUCUCGCUACGAGCUCCCAAGGGACCUCGUGGCGCUCCAAAAAGGAGCGGGAACCCCCUGAACGGAAACAUCUUAGUAAGGGGAGGAAAAGAAACCAAAACGGGAUUCCCCUAGUAGCGGCGAGCGAAAAGGGAAAAGUCCAAACUGAACUCCAUGCGGAAACGCAUGGCGAAUGUGGGGUUGCGGGUCCAGCCACCUUCUCACUAGCAAAGCUGAAGUAGCCUGAAACGGCUCGUCAAAGAGGGUGAAAGCCCCGUAAGCGCAAACUAGAAGAAGACGGGCUGGAAUCCCAGAGUACCGUACCCUGGUAUGGGUGCGAGAAACUGGAAGUCACCAACUUCCAAGACUAAACACGUCUCAAGACCGAUAGCGCACUAGUACGGUGACGGAAAGCUGAAAAGCAUCCCGGAAGGGAGAUGAAAAGAGCCUGAAACCAGACGGUUACAGACGUGUGCAGCCCAGAAGGAUAGAUCCCUCCCAAAGGAACCUAUGGCAACAUACAAGUACGAGGGAGGAGGACCAGGGUUGCACGCUCCGUCUAGAAACACGGGCCGGGGAGAUCAUAGCUGUGGCAAGCCUAAGGGCAAACAAGCCCGCAAGCACAGGGAAACCAACAUGCGUACAACCAGUGUUUACACUGGCGAGGCGCGAGGUCUGAAAUGGCCCGAAGUCACAGCAGUGAAACUAGAAACCGGGCGAUCUAUCCCUGGGCAGGGCGAAGUCAGGCGAAAGCCUGGUGGAGGCUCGAAAGGGUGCUGACGUGCAAUUCGCUCCCUUGACCUGGGGAUAGGGGCUAAAGACCAAUCUAGCCCGGUGAUAGCUAGUUCCCUCCGAAGUGGGUCGCAGCCCAGCCCUGAGCGAGGCUGCCGACGGGGUAGAGCACUGAUUGAGAAGUAAGGGGUCGAAAGACCCCGCUUUUCUUUCAAACUCCGAAUCCGCCGGCGCUGUAGACCUCAGGAGACGGGUUCUAGGGGGUAAGCUCCUAGUCCGAGAGGGGAACAACCCAGACUGAGGUUAAGGUCCCAAAGUGCUGGCUAAGUGUUAAACUGAAAGGCGUCAUCAGCCUAAGACAGCGGGAAGGUAGGCUUAGAAGCAGCCACCCUUCAAAGAAAGCGUAACAGCUCACCCGCCGAGGCUGAUGGCCCUGAAAAUGGACGGGGCUAAGCCAGCCACCGAUACCCCAGGGUGCAGCUUAGCGCUGCAAUCCGGUAGGAGGGCGUCCCGACUGGGCAGAAGCUGGGCCGUGAGGUCCAGUGGACCGGAUCGGGAUUGCAUAUCCCGGUGGUAGUAACAGCAAAGAGGGGUGAGAAACCCCUCCGCCGAAAGGGCAAGGGUUCCCCAGCAAUGCGUCAUCAGCUGGGGGUAAGUCGGUCCUAAGACUAGACUCAACCGAUCUAGCCGAAAGGGAAACCGGUUAAAAUUCCUGUACCACAGAGGUACAUACGGCGACGCAAGUCCAAUACCUGACGCUUCGAGGUAGGUUGAGCAAGGCUGUCGCCUUGUUUAACCGUAUAAGCUUGGGGAGUGCCGUAAUGGCGAGAACCAAGCGAAAGCGGGAAUAGCCACCCGUUUUUAGGGUGGUUCAACUGAUCUUUGGAGCCAAUGAAAAGGGUGUUGGAAAGGAUCCUCUGUGACCGUACCCAGAACCGUCACAGGUGUCCCUAGGCGAGAAACCUAAGGCGUGUCGGGUGUACACCAAGCGAGGGAAUUCGGCAAAUUAGCCCCCUAACUUAGGGAUAAGGGGUGCCUGCGCUUUUGGCUUCGGCUGGAACCGCAGGUCGCAGUGUCAAGGGGGUCCCGACUGUUUAAUAAAAACACAGGAAGCCGCAAGCCCGAAAGGGUGUGAACGGCUUCUGAAUCCUGGCCAGUACAGGUACCUAAAACCUGGGUUCAACCGGGCUAAGGGCCUGCAAACGCCGGGAGUAACUCUGACUCUCUCAAGGUAGCCAAAUGCCUUGUCGGGUAAGUUCCGACGCGCAUGAAUGGAGCAACGAGGGCCCCACUGUCCCCGCUUGGUACCCGGUGAACCCACGUAAAGUGGACGAACAGUCCACUAACUUCCAGCGGGAAGAGAAGACCCCGUGGAGUUUUACUGCAGUCUGUCGCUGGGAUAUGGUUGUGGAUGCAGAGUGUAGGCGGGAGCUGUUAAUCUCAGUCUCUCCGGGGACUGAGGGAGGCGACAAUGGAACACCGCCCUUUUGCGACUGUGUCUCUCACCGGCGCUUCGGCGUUGGAACAACGGUAGAUGGGCAGUUUGGCUGGGGCGGCACCCCCUUGAAAAAAUAUCGAGGGGGCCCAAAGAUCGGCUCAGGCGGGACAGAAACCCGCCGCAGAGUGCAAAGGCAAAAGCUGGUCUGACUGAAUCCUCCAAGGCAAGGGAUUCAGAGGCGAAAGCCGGGCUUAGCGAACAUCCAAAUCCCUCUUGGUGAGGGUUGGAUAUGACAGAAAAAUUACCCCGGGGAUAACAGGCUCGUCGCGGGCGAGAGUUCACAUCGACCCCGCGGCUUGGUACCUCGAUGUCGGCUCUUCCUAUCCUGGUCCUGCAUAAGGGGCCAAGGGUGAGGCUGCUCGCCUAUUAAAAGGGAACGUGAGCUGGGUUUAGACCGUCGUGAGACAGGUCGGACUCUAUCUGCUGGGAGUGUUGGUCGCCUGAGGGGAAAGGGUCCUAAGUACGAGAGGAACGGGACGUUGUAGCCUCUAGUCUACCGGUUGUCCGACAGGGCAUUGCCGGGCAGCCACGCUGUCGCGGAUAAGGGCUGAAAGCAUCUAAGCCCGAAGCCGCUCCCGAAAAUAGGC